This 460-nucleotide ribosomal RNA is filed under the name uncultured bacterium. Its description in RNAcentral is "partial 16S ribosomal RNA". It matches the Rfam family "Bacterial small subunit ribosomal RNA", at positions 338 to 795 of the family's 1533-position model. The record is from RNAcentral.
CCUACGGGUGGCAGCAGUGAGGAAUAUUGGUCAAUGGACGCAAGUCUGAACCAGCCAUGCCGCGUGCAGGAUGACGGCUCUAUGAGUUGUAAACUGCUUUUGUACGAGGGUAAACCCCGAUACGUGUAUCGGGUUGAAAGUAUCGUACGAAUAAGGAUCGGCUAACUCCGUGCCAGCAGCCGCGGUAAUACGGAGGAUCCGAGCGUUAUCCGGAUUUAUUGGGUUUAAAGGGUGCGUAGGCGGUUUGAUAAGUUAGAGGUGAAAUGUCGGGGCUCAACCCCGAAACUGCCGCUAAUACUGUUGGACUAGAGAAUAGUUGCGGUAGGCGGAAUGUAUGGUGUAGCGGUGAAAGGCUUAGAGAUCAUACAGAACACCGAUUGCGAAGGCAGCUUACCAAACUAUAUCUGACGUUGAGGCACGAAAGCGUGGGUAGCAAACAGGAUUAGAUACCCCUGUAGUC